Molecule: transfer RNA, 90 nt
Filed under: Verrucomicrobiales bacterium
Lineage: Bacteria; Pseudomonadati; Verrucomicrobiota; Verrucomicrobiia; Verrucomicrobiales
Description: tRNA-Ser
Rfam family: tRNA
About the family: Transfer RNA (tRNA) molecules are approximately 80 nucleotides in length. Their secondary structure includes four short double-helical elements and three loops (D, anti-codon, and T loops).
Source: RNAcentral
GGAGAGGUGGUCGAGUGGUCUAUGGCACCUGAUUCGAAAUCAGACGUGGGGUAACACUCACCGUGGGUUCAAAUCCCACCCUCUCCGCCA